Molecule: long non-coding RNA, 1177 nt
Organism: Xenopus laevis (African clawed frog)
Lineage: Eukaryota; Metazoa; Chordata; Amphibia; Anura; Pipidae
Exons: 4
Source: RefSeq, a predicted model, not a curated record
GUUCUUACGCCUCAACCUUUAAUCUCACUCGGCCAAAUUUUAUUUGCGCCAAACCUAUAACCUCACUCAUCACUUUUGUUUUUGUUGUAGGAACUCCCCCUGCUAGACUUUGAUUGCGAAGUUCCGAGGAGAAGAUUUCAAUGAGCCCCCUGCACAGAACACUCUAACGGGAGAAUGACAAAGGGGGUGACUUCUUUGCAUUUCACGUCUCUUUGAUUAGAAAGAUGGUGACAAGUAUGCCGGUGCCGACAUGAGAUGCCACACACUUUGGCGCCCAUCUUGAAACUCCUGUACAAGAAAAGAAAUGUUGGUAUAAGUCACUGCUUUAGUGGAGAUAAAGAAUACAAGUGCUGGUAAAUGACAAGCAGAAGACAAGCACCUCUCUGUAACCGCACAGCUACACACCUGAGCAGGGCUGUGGAACACGAGGGCAAUUGUCCACUAACUAAACCGUGGAUUUGUGGGCAAUCCGGCCUAAACGCUAGAAUUACAGAAGCAGAAGGCAGUUUCCAGAGAUAAUGGCGGAUCCCCUUAUGUGUUUUAUGUACAGAACUUUACAGGCAUUUAAAUAAGUUGCCAGGUAAUGACAUCAUUACGCCCUGACGAAGCCUGUUUGGUGAAACGCGCGUUGGCGUGUCAUGAUGGAGGAAUCACCCGCUCUUAACCGCUCUUAAGCAAAGGUUGCGAUAAGUCUGGAUGUUACUUGAACAAGCCGUAAAAAAUCUGGAGACACAUGUACAUUCCCUCGUCUGAGAUAUCCGAGUCUGGACAAAAAGACAUUAAGGCAGACCUUGAACUGAGGGUAACGUAUACUUGGGGCGGCUUACUUGCAGGCAUUCUUAUUACAGCCGGCGCACAGUGAGUCAAUCAGCCAUCGAUUUACUGCUUCACAAGCUGUGGGUAAACCGACACGGCUGCAGAAGAAGUGAAGGCGGCCUACAUUGUUACAUGCUUUCAGCAUUCUUUUCUACACAGGAUACUGUGUUUUCUAAAAGUAACAAAUGACUCUAAUUAUUUCCAGCACGCGGAAUUCUUUCAGAGACAUUUUUCAAACAAUUUAGAGCGGGUGCCUUCAGUGAUUUAUUCCUCCGACAUUUCUUUCCCACAUCAAUUUCUUUUUCCUUAAAUAGGAAUCCAUGGACUGUCUGAUGCAAGCUUGAAGCAAUAACUUUUUCUC